CUCAACCGUAAGGAGGGGGAUGCCUAAGGCAGGGCUAGUGACUGGGGUGAAGUCGUAACAAGGUAGCCGUACCGGAAGGUGUGGCUGGAUCACCUCCUUAAAGGGAGACCUAAUUCAGGUAGGCGACGAAAAAAAAGUAGUCCCAACCAAGAAUCAAUCCCAAAAGGUCGGAGCGAGGCAAAAUUGGCUUUCAAACUAGGUUCUGGGUUCACACAAGACCUGAAUCAGGAACAAGGGCUAUUAGCUCAGGUGGUUAGAGCGCACCCCUGAUAAGGGUGAGGUCCCUGGUUCGAGUCCAGGAUGGCCCACCUGCACAGGUGGCAAAAACAAAGAAGCGAGGAAUCAGCACCUUAUCUUAUUUAUAUAGUAAGAGAGAAUGCUGGCUCUGAGUUCAGAGUCCAGAGGAACCUUGAAAACUGCAUAGAGCUAGGUGAAAAAGCCAAAAAAGAAGACCGCAAGGUCAAGCUAAUAAGGGCUAACGGUG
This 484-nucleotide unclassified non-coding RNA is filed under the name uncultured Microcystis sp. RNAcentral describes it as "partial contains 16S ribosomal RNA, 16S-23S ribosomal RNA intergenic spacer, and 23S ribosomal RNA". The stretch from base 1 to 100 matches the Rfam family "Bacterial small subunit ribosomal RNA", at positions 1434 to 1533 of the family's 1533-position model. The record is from RNAcentral. Lineage: Bacteria; Bacillati; Cyanobacteriota; Cyanophyceae; Chroococcales; Microcystaceae.